This 465-nucleotide ribosomal RNA is filed under the name uncultured bacterium. RNAcentral describes it as "partial 16S ribosomal RNA". It matches the Rfam family "Bacterial small subunit ribosomal RNA", at positions 28 to 507 of the family's 1533-position model. The record is from RNAcentral.
GACGAACGCUGGCGGCGUGCUUAACACAUGCAAGUCGAACGGAAAGGCCCUGCUUGCAGGGUACUCGAGUGGCGAACGGGUGAGUAACACGUGGGUGAUCUGCCCUGCACUUCGGGAUAAGCCUGGGAAACUGGGUCUAAUACCGGAUAGGAGCCAUUUUUAGUGUGAUGGUUGGAAAGUUUUUUCGGUGUAGGUUGAGCUCGCGGCCUAUCAGCUUGUUGGUGGGGUAAUGGCCUACCAAGGCGGCGACGGGUAGCCGGCCUGAGAGGGUGGACGGCCACAUUGGGACUGAGAUACGGCCCAGACUCCUACGGGAGGCAGCAGUGGGGAAUAUUGCACAAUGGGCGCAAGCCUGAUGCAGCGACGCCGCGUGGGGGAUGACGGCCUUCGGGUUGUAAACUCCUUUCGCUAGGGACGAAGCUUUUUGUGACGGUACCUAGAGAAGAAGCACCGGCUAACUACGUG